Molecule: ribosomal RNA, 327 nt
Filed under: uncultured Planctomycetota bacterium
Lineage: Bacteria; Pseudomonadati; Planctomycetota
Description: bacterial SSU rRNA
Rfam family: Bacterial small subunit ribosomal RNA
Source: RNAcentral
AACGAACGCUGGCGGCGUGGUUGAUACAUGCAAGUCGAACGGGAACGAUCCUUUCGGGGAUCUAGUAUAGUGGCGGACGGGUGAGUAACACGUGAUCAACAUAUCCACAGUACCGGGAUAGCCAACCGAAAGGGUGGGUAAUACCGGAUAAGACCACGGCACCGCAUGGUGCUGCGGCAAAAGGUUUACUCCGACUGUGGAGUGGAUCGCGGCCUAUCAGCUUGUUGGUGAGGUAACGGCUCACCAAGGCGACGACGGGUAGCCGGCCUGAGAGGGUGGACGGCCACACUGGGACUGAGACACGGCCCAGACUCCUACGGGUGGCAG